UCACCAAAAUUCCCACAUCAUAAUAAAUUCAUGCCUAUUAUAUACAAAAAAAAAAAAAAAAAAAAAAAAAAAGGAAGGCAUAUCAUCACCAUAUUCACAUACACAUACAGUAAAGAAGCGACGAAAAUCAUCAUCUUGAACAAAAGGAAGGCACGCCAUUUUUCUUUCUUUCUCUGGACCAAUAGAGAAACAUUUUUUUCUUUUUCUUUCUUAUUCAACAAAAGACACACUCACCUCUUUCUUCUACACAAGAAAUCGCACAAACCAUUCAUCCUCACCGAAAAACGUACACCUACGCGCACACACUGUUCACAUAUGCAUAGAGGGAGUGAGAGAGGACGGAAGGGAGAUCAAAAGUGAGAGAUCAAAAGGGAGAAAAGAUACAAAAAAAUGUACUGAAAAGGGGGAAGGGAACCAGCUUUUUCAGCAAAACCUUCGCCGGAAUCGACUCUACACCGCAAUUAGGCCGACCCACCUCCGUAAUCCCAAAAUUUCUCUUUUUCUAGUGGUUUUCUAGAUGAAAUCGGCCGAAAAACACUGAUGUCUCACUGAAAAUCAUCAUACGGGUUCUCAGCUUCAUCUUGAAAAGCUUGAUUUCGGGUUGUUUCUGUCUAUUUUCCGCGAUUUUGUUCAAACGAAUGAAAAACAGAGCAAAAGUCAAAAUACCGAGACUUGGUUUCAUUGUUGGGUCUGUUUCGGGGUUCAUCGGUUCACGAAGCUUCCGUCGCUGUUGAAAUCGAUACAAAUUGAUCGAAUAAAAGGAACAUUGAGGAUCUAUUUGGACUUUUUGUUUUGUCGGUGUUCCGUCAUAGAGCACAAAUGGCCCCUCAAUCUCAGAGGCAAAAGGAACUAUGCAUGAGUCAUCAAGCCCACAAAGAAGGAUCUAGAGCAGGAUUACUAGGGUGUGUCAUGGGUUUCAUUCGACUCUCAUUCACAGCAUUGGGACUCCUACGCUUCAGAAUGAUAGAACCAUUAGGACCUAAAGAGAAGGCUACAUCAUGAAGUACAGUAAGUAAAUAAAUUCUUCUAUGAAAGCUUUUCAGAUAUUGAUGGUGUAACGGAAAAUUUUUUGAAAGAUAAUACCAACUCUAGCCAUGUCAUUGUUAUUUUUCUUACAAAUAAAAUUAAUUAGAGCAUGAUAGAAAAUGAAAUUUCUGAUGAAAAAAGAUAUAAGAAGAGGACAGAUCAAAACAAGUAAUGAAUCUUAGGAGAUGCUGGCGAACACUUACAUUUAGAUGAUUGGUGGACACAACUCUUGAGGAGCUAGUAGUUUUAAUCCACUUGGUGCCAGAUGAUAGACCAAGAGCUUCUGCAAUAGGUAGGUAUAUUGUUGUCCCGGUCUGUACCUCCUUUUCCCAGUUAAUAGAAUGGCCACCAAGAAACUUACCACGUUUCUUUGGUGGCACAGAACUCUGAAAAACCUUUGCAGGAGCAUGUAACUUGGAUUCAGAACACUCAUUUUCUAGUCCAUGUGAUAAAGACAUUAAUCACUUGCCCUUAUCACAUUCUUCACGGCAAUAAUCCUCUUGAGCAUCUUCGAACAAUAACCCCGUAUGCAAUAUCUAAAAGGAAGAGAAAAGAUAGAAUUUAUAAAAACGGAAAAAGGACUACAUAUGCAUAAAAGAUAAAGGUAGUAUAUAAGAGAAUUAAAUGCUACAACAUGCUAAUGGAAGAAUCAAUGUAUCCUUUAGGUGGAACCUAAUAUCCAAUAUCAUUUAGAAUCCGCUUUGAAGAAUGCCAGGAAGAUUAGACAGCUCGAAGAGGUCCUAAUUCUCCCCUAAGAGGUCAUAUUACUUCCAUUUAGGCUUCUAGUUUUGAUCCAUCUUUAAUCUCUAUUUAAGAUUCCAAAAUAAGGGUGUCAAAUGAGUUCACAGAUUUAGUCAUAAUUUGAUCCAUGGAUGAGUAGACAGAUUUGAUUCUAAUCUGCUCCACAAUUGAGUAGGCAGAUAUAUAUGAUUGCAAUCUACUGUAAAUAUGUGAUAUCAUAUAUUGUUACUCUAGGAGAAUAGAUAAGAGGAAAUCCCUUGAUUCAUGUAUCUCCUAGGCUAAGUUGCAUAAACUCGGGUAGCGGGUCUUGAUUGGGGAGCUGCCAAAGGCACACCAGAACUGCCAGUAUAAUAAUGCCUCGGAGUGAAUCCUGGCGCGUGCUCAGUUGACUCAGUAGGAGCAAAAAAUUGCGCCUGAGAGAGCGGUGGGCAAUUAGAGAUAUUCCCAAAACCUUCAGGGAGUGGAGGAGAAGGCAUUCCGCUGGCAAAAGCCCGGUGCAAAUCUAUCA
This is a long non-coding RNA of Capsicum annuum, 2275 nucleotides long. RefSeq lists it as uncharacterized. The record is from RefSeq and is a predicted model, not a curated record. Lineage: Eukaryota; Viridiplantae; Streptophyta; Magnoliopsida; Solanales; Solanaceae. The transcript has 3 exons.